RNAcentral lists this transfer RNA (74 nucleotides) under Candidatus Omnitrophota bacterium. RNAcentral's name for it is "tRNA-Cys". It matches the Rfam family "tRNA". From Rfam's summary of the family: Transfer RNA (tRNA) molecules are approximately 80 nucleotides in length. Their secondary structure includes four short double-helical elements and three loops (D, anti-codon, and T loops). Further hydrogen bonds mediate the characteristic L-shaped molecular structure. tRNAs have two regions of fundamental functional importance: the anti-codon, which is responsible for specific mRNA codon recognition, and the 3' end, to which the tRNAs corresponding amino acid is attached (by aminoacyl-tRNA synthetases). tRNAs cope with the degeneracy of the genetic code in two manners: having more than one tRNA (with a specific anti-codon) for a particular amino acid; and 'wobble' base-pairing, i.e. permitting non-standard base-pairing at the 3rd anti-codon position. The record is from RNAcentral. Lineage: Bacteria; Pseudomonadati; Candidatus Omnitrophota.
GGCGAUAUGGGCGAGUGGUUAGUCGCCUGUCUGCAAAACAGGAAACCCGAGUUCGAUUCUCGGUAUCGCUUCCA